This 1338-nucleotide small RNA is filed under the name Cryptococcus neoformans H99. RNAcentral's name for it is "Cryptococcus neoformans var. grubii H99 hypothetical RNA". The record is from RNAcentral. Lineage: Eukaryota; Fungi; Basidiomycota; Tremellomycetes; Tremellales; Cryptococcaceae.
GCAUUCUAGACUUCGAGGUCGUGAACUGGAGUUUAUCUAGCGGUCGCGGGUUCAAAUCCCGUCGAGCCUUCAUUCUUUUGCCUUUUUUUUUUACUGGGUCGUACGUACGUAUUCUUCGUUCGUUCGAAAUUCUCUGUUUAUUUUACUUCUACCUUCUUACAUCCGACACACCAAUUGGCGCGAGUCCUAGAUAUGCUCUCGGUCCCCCCUUCACAGGCAACGGUCUAGUUUGGCUUGGGAGGCCAUCGUCAACAAUGACGGAAAUACGAUAUCUCUUAUCACGCCUUCGUCGUCAGUUGUCUGAGGAUGUCUUCCACUCGCAAACAACAUAUGUUGAAAAAAUUAAGGGAAGUCAUCAACAAUCAAUACAGCUUAUAAAGAUAUUAACCUCAUAACUUCGCAAUCGGUGACAUUCAUAUUAUUUACGUUUUCCAUCGUUUUAAGUCGUACGCCGUUAACUUUAUUGGCCUAUAUAUGGCAGCAGGUAGAUGACAUACUCAUCUUCAUGAAUCUUCGUCCUGCGACUCCCUGUUUGUUGGGAUAAAUCCUUUCUACACGUUCAAUUAGAACCCGCCUCAAACUUUACUGGGCAUCUACCGCAAUUAAAUCUGGGGAACACCCAAAUGGGGGCUAGUUUCUUUCUUAAGGAACACGGACCGAAGGGUCAUUUUACUCCUUCUACCAACAACAUCAAAGCUUACCUCAGCAGAGCAAGUACUACUGUCGAUGCUCAGAACAUCGCAUUGCGCGAUUGCAGGGUACUAAAUGAGCAUCUCGGAAUUCAACGUACGGCAAUGUAAGUAUAUCAUCAGCAAUGUGUCCCUGGGCAUCGUCAAACCUGUGACGCAGAUUGCACACCCAACCACCGUCCAUUGGCAAUAGCGCUCACAACGAUGGCUGCCUGUGGCUGAGCAUCAUAAGUUCAAAAAUGAGGAACAGGAGAAUAUAUGCAACGGCCCAUACCCUAUCUCACAUUAAUCUCUUUGCAGAUGGUGCCUCUGUAUGCCCGUCUAUAGCAAUCCUAACAACACCGAAAGGGGAACAGCAGCUUCACGACAGACGGCAUUCAACGCUAUCAUAUUGAGAGGCAAUAAUGGAGACGUUCUCAGAGAUACCGCAUUUCUAUAUUUUUUACAGCAGGUGCUUGGGGAAAAAGUUGCUAAUCUAAUGAUGAAAAGAGGUCGGUCAUGCGUUCAAGUUCGUGGACCAAGUCAGGGCCACAUAUAUCCUUGAUUGGAAAUGCGCACAACGGAGGAAGUUAUGAUGACAAGACAUAUUUUUGGUCCAGUCUGGUUCGGUACAAUGAGGUACCAGACUAUGCAUCUUAAUUAAGUUAUG